GCUCAGAUUGAACGCUGGCGGCAGGCCUAACACAUGCAAGUCGAGCGGUAGCACAAGAGAGCUUGCUCUCUGGGUGACGAGCGGCGGACGGGUGAGUAAUGUCUGGGAAACUGCCUGAUGGCGGGGGAUAACUAGUGGAAACGGUAGCUAAUACCGCAUAACGUCGCAAGACCAAAGUGGGGGCCCUUCGGGCCUCACGCCAUCAGAUGUGCCCAGGUGGGAUUAGCUGGUAGGUGGGGUAACGGCUCACCUAGGCGACGAUCCCUAGCUGGUCUGAGAGGAUGACCAGCCACACUGGAACUGAGACACGGUCCAGACUCCUACGGGAGGCAGCAGUGGGGAAUAUUGCACAAUGGGCGCAAGCCUGAUGCAGCCAUGCCGCGUGUGUGAAGAAGGCCUUCGGGUUGUAAAGCACUUUCAGCGAGGAGGAAGGGUAAUGUGUUA
RNAcentral lists this ribosomal RNA (444 nucleotides) under Serratia symbiotica. RNAcentral's name for it is "bacterial SSU rRNA". It matches the Rfam family "Bacterial small subunit ribosomal RNA", at positions 22 to 462 of the family's 1533-position model. The record is from RNAcentral. Lineage: Bacteria; Pseudomonadati; Pseudomonadota; Gammaproteobacteria; Enterobacterales; Yersiniaceae.